This 298-nucleotide long non-coding RNA is filed under the name Gallus gallus (chicken). Lineage: Eukaryota; Metazoa; Chordata; Aves; Galliformes; Phasianidae. The record is from RNAcentral.
UUUUUUUUUUUUUAAGACACGAAGUCCUAACCUUAAAUUGCCAGUUGGUCUGCAAUACAGAGACAGCCCGGAGAAUUAACACCCAGUCCUGGAACAAGGCCUGAGGAUGAAAGUAAUGACAACGUGGGAUUCUAAAUAUACCCGAGCAGCUCACAGGUUCUUUGAUUGUGCUGGAGGCUGUGUGAAAUCUGCAGGCAACAGCAUGCCUGCUUGCAGUUUUGCUUCAGGUGAGAAGCUGUUUAGUGCCUUAAGACAAAGUCAGAGACAUGAAGUCCCAAAGGCUAAUUCACUGGAGGAA